RNAcentral lists this ribosomal RNA (492 nucleotides) under uncultured bacterium. Its description in RNAcentral is "partial 16S ribosomal RNA". It matches the Rfam family "Bacterial small subunit ribosomal RNA", at positions 29 to 507 of the family's 1533-position model. The record is from RNAcentral.
AGUGAACGCUGGCGGUGGGCCUAACACAUGCAAGUCGAACGGCAGCACAGUAAGAGCUUGCUCUUACGGGUGGCGAGUGGCGGACGGGUGAGGAAUACAUCGGAAUCUACUUUUUCGUGGGGGAUAACGUAGGGAAACUUACGCUAAUACCGCAUACGACCUACGGGUGAAAGCAGGGGAUCUUCGGACCUUGCGCGAUUGAAUGAGCCGAUGUCGGAUUAGCUAGUUGGCGGGGUAAAGGCCCACCAAGGCGACGAUCCGUAGCUGGUCUGAGAGGAUGAUCAGCCACACUGGAACUGAGACACGGUCCAGACUCCUACGGGAGGCAGCAGUGGGGAAUAUUGGACAAUGGGCGCAAGCCUGAUCCAGCUAUACCGCGUGUGUGAAGAAGGCCUUCGGGUUGUAAAGCCCUUUUGUUGGGAAAGAAAAGCAGCAGGUUAAUACCCCGCUGUUCUGACGGUACCCAAAGAAUAAGCACCGGCUAACUUCGUG